Oryctolagus cuniculus (rabbit) is the source of this 673-nucleotide non-coding RNA. The record is from RefSeq and is a predicted model, not a curated record. Lineage: Eukaryota; Metazoa; Chordata; Mammalia; Lagomorpha; Leporidae.
CCAGCAAACAGCUCUCUCCCUGCACUCAAAACCAGCCUGGGAGAACCUGAAAGUCCGGUUGCCCGCCAUGGCCCCGCGCCCCGACCCCCACCAGUUCCCCCAGACUCCUCUGCUAAGGGCCGAUGGGGAGGAGAAAGCCUGGCCACCCAGGCUUCCGAUCUCUCUGGGCUCACCGAGAAGGAAGGUGGCCACCAUGGGGCGCGGGCUGCCCCUCUUCCUCCUCCUGAGCCUCCUCAGCAGCGCUGACGGAACGGGCCCAGGUCUGACUUUGCGGCUGAAACUGAAAGAGUCUUCCCUGGCAAACGGCUCCUACGACUCCGGCUUCCCCGCACGGCUUGAGGAGGCCACGCCAGAGAGCUGGAUCGGAAGAGGAGCAGCCAGGACACAAACUGGUACCCAUAUGAGAUGCCGGCACUGCAGACCAAGGCUUAGCCUACCACGCCACCACAUCGGCCUGAUUAAACCUCAUCUUUUUACAAUGGGUUCUCCCCUGACCCCUGUUAGAUACCACAACCUGCCCCCUACCCCCCUACUCCCCCUGUCAAGUUCCCUUACACUGUUCUACCCUUCUCUUCCCCCCAGCAGUUGUGACCUGGCCCUCAGCGUUUUCUGCACCUACAGAUUGUAGCAACCAUGGAUGGAAAAUAUUAGGGGAAAAAAAGACUCUACUGAA